Molecule: ribosomal RNA, 910 nt
Filed under: uncultured bacterium
Lineage: Bacteria
Description: bacterial SSU rRNA
Rfam family: Bacterial small subunit ribosomal RNA
Source: RNAcentral
GUUUGAUCCUGGCUCAGAUUGAACGCUGGCGGAAUGCUUUACACAUGCAAGUCGAACGGCAGCACGGGUGCUUGCACCUGGUGGCGAGUGGCGAACGGGUGAGUAAUGCAUCGGAACGUACCGAGUAAUGGGGGAUAACGCAGCGAAAGUUGUGCUAAUACCGCAUACGCCCUGAGGGGGAAAGUGGGGGAUCGCAAGACCUCACGUUAUUCGAGCGGCCGAUGUCUGAUUAGCUAGUUGGUGGGGUAAAGGCCUACCAAGGCGACGAUCAGUAGCGGGUCUGAGAGGAUGAUCCGCCACACUGGGACUGAGACACGGCCCAGACUCCUACGGGAGGCAGCAGUGGGGAAUUUUGGACAUGGGGGCAACCCUGAUCCAGCCAUUCCGCGUGAGUGAAGAAGGCCUUCGGGUUGUAAAGCUCUUUCAGUUGGAACGAAACGGUACGCUCUAACAUAGCGUGCUAAUGACGGUACCGACAGAAGAAGCACCGGCUAACUACGUGCCAGCAGCCGCGGUAAUACGUAGGGUGCGAGCGUUAAUCGGAGUUACUGGGCGUAAAGCGUGCGCAGGCGGAUUGUUAAGCAAGAUGUGAAAUCCCCGGGCUUAACCCGGGAAUGGCAUUUUGAACUGGCAGUCUAGAGUGCGUCAGAGGGGGGUGGAAUUCCACGUGUAGCAGUGAAAUGCGUAGAUAUGUGGAGGAACACCAAUGGCGAAGGCAGCCCCCUGGGAUGACACUGACGCUCAUGUACGAAAGCGUGGGUAGCAAACAGGAUUAGAUACCCUGGUAGUCCACGCCCUAAACGAUGUCAACUGGUUGUUGGGUCUUUACUGACUCAGUAACGAAGCUAACGCGUGAAGUUGACCGCCUGGGGAGUACGGCCGCAAGGUUGAAACUCAAAGGAAUUGACGG